RNAcentral lists this ribosomal RNA (500 nucleotides) under uncultured bacterium. RNAcentral describes it as "partial 16S ribosomal RNA". It matches the Rfam family "Bacterial small subunit ribosomal RNA", at positions 30 to 523 of the family's 1533-position model. The record is from RNAcentral.
AUUGAACGCUGGCGGCAUGCCUUACACAUGCAAGUCGAACGGCAGCACGGGAGCAAUCCUGGUGGCGAGUGGCGAACCGGCGAGUAAAGUAUCGGAACGUGCCCAGUCGUGGGGGAUAACGUAGCGAAAGUUACGCUAAUACCGCAUACGGUCUAUGGAUCAAAACGGGGGAUCGCAAGACCUCGCGCGAUUGGAGCGGCCGAUAUCAGAUUAGGUAGUUGGUGGGGUAAAGGCUCACCAAGCCGACGAUCUGUAGCUGUUCGGAGAGGACGAGCAGCCACACGCGGACUGAGACACGGCCAAGACUCCUACGGGAGGCAGCAGUGGGGAAUUUUGGACAAUGGGCGCAAGCCUGAUCCAGCCAUGCCGCGUGCAGGAUGAAGGCCUUCGGGUUGUAAACUGCUUUUGUACGGAACGAAAAGGUUUGACUUAAUACGUUGGACUCAUGACGGUACCGUAAGAAUAAGCACCGGCUAACUACGUGCCAGCAGCCGCCGUAA